AUGUGGUUUGUGCAUAAGGGUGUAAUUCUAAUUAAAGAUAACUUAGCUAAGCGUAAGUGGGAAGGAAGUAAAAGAUGUUGCUUUUGUGAUCAGGAUGAAACAAUAGAACAUCUAUUUAUCACAUGUCCGCUUGCUAAAUUACUUUGGAGAACUAUUCACGUUACGUUUAACAUCAUUCAGCCUCUCACGAUAUCACAUUUGUUUGAUAACUAG
This 213-nucleotide ribosomal RNA is filed under the name Triticum aestivum (bread wheat). RNAcentral's name for it is "partial small subunit ribosomal RNA". Lineage: Eukaryota; Viridiplantae; Streptophyta; Magnoliopsida; Poales; Poaceae. The record is from RNAcentral.